CUCGGCCGACUACCAACAAAAAGAAAUCUCUUCAAACGGGGAGUUUUCUACGAUGCCCAACAAAUGGAUUGCUUAUGGUCCCCUUCGAUUACGGAAUCAGAGAGUCAUUUAUUUGGAACAUGCCCCCUUGCUUGUGGUUUGUGGUAUAAAAUAUUCAAGUGGCUUGGAUUGAGCUCGUCGGUACACCCGUACCACUUUGUUUUCAUGGGAACGUUUUGUUUGGCGAUGGGAUGUGGGAAAGGGCUUAAGGGGUUGCUAACAGUGUUACAUGCGAUGUUGUGGACUAUUUGGAGAGCAAUGAAUUGAAUGAU
This 311-nucleotide long non-coding RNA is filed under the name Trifolium pratense (red clover). Its description in RNAcentral is "long non-coding RNA (TPRA_LNC000167)". Lineage: Eukaryota; Viridiplantae; Streptophyta; Magnoliopsida; Fabales; Fabaceae. The record is from RNAcentral.